Ostrea edulis (European flat oyster) is the source of this 788-nucleotide long non-coding RNA. RefSeq lists it as uncharacterized. The transcript has 2 exons. Lineage: Eukaryota; Metazoa; Mollusca; Bivalvia; Ostreida; Ostreidae. The record is from RefSeq and is a predicted model, not a curated record.
CUAUAUUUGAAUUCUUUGACAAUCGUUUUUUUUUUUUUUUUAGAGCAACAGUGGCAUGAUUAGUCGUAUUGAUGUACAAGCAUCCACAGUUAGUACAGAUUCAAGUUUGUUCAAACCAUGGCCCCUGAGUGUACAAUGCAGCUUCAAUAGUUGAUCAAAGUUUUACAUGGCAAUAUAUGGGGGAAUCGUCUUCUCAAAGCCAACCGGGCCAUGAUUAAUCGUAUCAAUAUGCAAGAAUCAGCAGGUAGCGCAGAUUCCAAUUUAUUCAAAUCAUAGCCCCAAGGAGUUACAUGAGGCGACGAUAGGGGAUCAAAGUUUUACCUGGUUAGAUGGAUCGAUGCCAUUUAGACUAAUCUCUUGAAAUAUUCCCAGACACCUUGAUAUCAAGGCCAUGACAUACAGUUCCCGAAUCCCGUGAGUGCUGACAUACCGUCAAAGCAGUGCAAUCACUUAUUUUUCAACUUUGAAUACAGGAUCAACAUGUGCUCCACAGCAAAGUUCCCACAAAACCCACGGCUGGAAAAAAGUUUAAGUGUUCACCAGGGGAGUACAUGUAUUUACGUCGAGAGGGCUAAAGAAAGGAUAAAGUCUACAUACCAGCAUUCUACGAGCUAAUAUCAACCAACAUAAAUAUGUGCAUGUGAUGCAUUAAACAGUAUAUUAUAUAUUAAUUAAUAGCUGUUGAUUCAACCGUAAUAAUUUUUUUUAACAUUUUCUUGAAUGACUGUAAAGUGCAAUGCUCUACAUGUGUCAAAUAGUUUAGUAUACAUAAAAAAUGCACUACUGAU